This 301-nucleotide ribosomal RNA is filed under the name uncultured bacterium. Its description in RNAcentral is "partial 16S ribosomal RNA". It matches the Rfam family "Bacterial small subunit ribosomal RNA", at positions 509 to 807 of the family's 1533-position model. The record is from RNAcentral.
CAGUCGCCGCGGGAACACGUAGGGUGCAAGCGUUAAUCGGAAUUACUGGGCGUAAAGCGUGCGCAGGCGGUUAUAUAAGACAGAUGUGAAAUCCCCGGGCUCAACCUGGGAACUGCAUUUGUGACUGUAUAGCUAGAGUACGGCAGAGGGGGAUGGAAUUCCGCGUGUAGCAGUGAAAUGCGUAGAUAUGCGGAGGAACACCGAUGGCGAAGGCAAUCCCCUGGGCCUGUACUGACGCUCAUGCACGAAAGCGUGGGGAGCAAACAGGAUUAGAUACCCCAGUAGUCCCUGUCUCUUAUAC